RNAcentral lists this long non-coding RNA (221 nucleotides) under Mytilus galloprovincialis (Mediterranean mussel). Lineage: Eukaryota; Metazoa; Mollusca; Bivalvia; Mytilida; Mytilidae. The record is from RNAcentral.
AUCAGAAAUAGAUUGAUUAUAUUGUAAAUGAUAUAGUUUGUAUUUAUUUCAUUUUCGUGUGAAUACGAUAUUUAAUGCAACCACUUUUGCAUAAAGUUGUAAGCCAAAGAUUUAUGUAUCUCAAAUUCUAUGCAUUUAUUGCAGCCUUUCAUACAAAAGGUGCUUUUACUGAGUCAUGAUAUAACAGUACGUAACAAACUGCAAAUUUUGCCUUCAGACAC